GCCAUGGCGACGGUGGUGGUUCCUCGUCGGAAACGCUCAGCAGGUCAGGCAGCGUCCGCGGAGGCAGAGCCCGAGCUAAUACUUCACGAUCAUUUCAUCACAUCAGUGCAUUGCGGUAUUACAAGGGAAAACAAUAACAGAAUGCAGAAUAAAGUGUUACAGUUACAGAGAAAGUGCAGUGCAGGCAGACAAGGUGCAAGGCCAUAACAAGGUAGAUUGUGAGAUGUUGCCUGACCUGCCAAGUUAGGCAAUAAGUGUCGGCAGUGCCAGAAACCAACACGUCCCGUAAAUGGAUUCAAAAAUAACUCUGAAUCAUUGUGAAGUUCUUUGGGAUGUCACAAGGUCAUGGAAGAGUCUUCGCAGUGGUUGAACCAAGCAUCACUCAGUGCGUGCUCCUGUACCCUGGAAUGUGCCAGUGAACAGCAACCAGCCUCCCCUUCAUUGAAUCCAUCUGACUUCCUGCUACCUCGGGAAAACAGCCAGUAUAAUCAAGGAUUAUAUUGGAUCAAGGAUCCCUCCCACCCUGGUCAUUCUCUCUUUUUCUCCCUCCCAUCAGGCAGAAGAUACAUAACCCUGAGAACAUUUACCACCAGGCUCAAGGACAACUUCUAUCCCACUGUGAUGAGACUCUUGACGGACCUCUUGUAUGAUAAAGAUGGACUCUUGACCUCACAAUCUACCUCGUCAUGGCCUUGCACCUUAUUGUCUGCCUGCACUGCACUUUCUCUGUAACUGUAACGCUCUGUUCUACAUUCUCUAUCUUCUGUAUUAUUUUCUUGUUUAUUCCCUCAAUGUACUUAUGUAUGGAAUAAACUGUCUGGACUGUACAGUUUUUCACUGUAUCUCAGUACAUGUGACAAUAAUAAACCUAUUACCAGUAACUUGCAGACAUUUUCAACAAGUGUCGGGCAGACCAAGGCGCAUCUUUCACCGAGUUGAUGAUCUUCCAACAGCACUCGAUGUCUGUCUCAGCGAGUGUCCCUGGGAACACCCUGUAGAUCAGAGAGUCCUCCGUUAUAUAGCUGUCCAGGAUAAACAUCAACAUCCCUUCUCAGACCUUCUUGACAAACACAUGGUCCUCAAGGAGGUGGGUAAUGUGUAGGCCGGGAUUGUGAGUCUGCUGUGCGUGAAGCAUUUGACAGGGUGAACCCCUUCUCACUACCAGCCAAGCAAAGUCUGUGCCCCUAUACCACCACAAUUACAAAUGGCAACAUUAACCAACGCAAACAAUCCACGUUGACUGAGGGCAGUGUUUUCAAAUGCUGAGGCACAUCUUAGUGCAAGUAACCAAAGCCCUGGUCAAAGAGGUAGGUUUUGUGGAGAAUCUCAGAUGAGGAAAGUGUGGCAGAGGGAUUUGGGGAUGGGAUUUCCAGA
Long non-coding RNA from Pristis pectinata (smalltooth sawfish), 1374 nucleotides. RefSeq lists it as uncharacterized. NCBI's taxonomy places the organism in Eukaryota, Metazoa, Chordata, Chondrichthyes, Rhinopristiformes, Pristidae. The record is from RefSeq and is a predicted model, not a curated record. The transcript is spliced from 4 exons.